RNAcentral lists this ribosomal RNA (373 nucleotides) under uncultured organism. Its description in RNAcentral is "bacterial SSU rRNA". It matches the Rfam family "Bacterial small subunit ribosomal RNA", at positions 526 to 896 of the family's 1533-position model. The record is from RNAcentral.
CGUAGGGUGCGAGCGUUAAUCGGAAUUACUGGGCGUAAAGCGUGCGCAGGCGGUUUUAGUAAGACAGGCGUGAAAUCCCCGGGCUCAACCUGGGAACUGCGCUUGUGACUGCUAAGCUAGAGUACGGCAGAGGGGGGUGGAAUUCCACGUGUAGCAGUGAAAUGCGUAGAGAUGUGGAGGAACACCAAUGGCGAAGGCAGCCCCCUGGGUCGAUACUGACGCUCAUGCACGAAAGCGUGGGUAGCAAACAGGAUUAGAUACCCUGGUAGUCCACGCCCUAAACGAUGUCAACUAGGUGUUGGGAGGGUAAAACCUUUUAGUACCGGAGCUAACGCGUGAAGUUGACCGCCUGGGGAGUACGGCCGCAAGGUUA